This 467-nucleotide ribosomal RNA is filed under the name uncultured bacterium. RNAcentral's name for it is "partial 16S ribosomal RNA". It matches the Rfam family "Bacterial small subunit ribosomal RNA", at positions 28 to 507 of the family's 1533-position model. The record is from RNAcentral.
GACGAACGCUGGCGGCGUGCUUAACACAUGCAAGUCGAACGGAAAGGCUCCAGCUUGCUGGAGUACUCGAGUGGCGAACGGGUGAGUAACACGUGGGUAAUCUGCCCUGCACUCUGGGAUAAGCCUGGGAAACUGGGUCUAAUACUGGAUAUGACCUUUCUCCUUAUGGGGUUUGGUGGAAAGUUUUUCGGUGUAGGAUGAGCCCGCGGCCUAUCAGCUUGUUGGUGGGGUGAUGGCCUACCAAGGCGACGACGGGUAGCCGGCCUGAGAGGGUGAUCGGCCACAUUGGGACUGAGAUACGGCCCAGACUCCUACGGGAGGCAGCAGUGGGGAAUAUUGCGCAAUGGGCGGAAGCCUGAUGCAGCGACGCCGCGUGAGGGAUGACGGCCUUCGGGUUGUAAACCUCUUUCAGCAGGGACGAAGCGUAAGUGACGGUACCUGCAGAAGAAGCACCGGCUAACUAUGUG